AUGGCGGGGCGGCUCCGCCUGAGGAGAGGCGGGCGUGAGGCGAGGCGAGCCCGCCCCGCUGCGCUGCCGGCGGCUGGGGACGUCUCACCUCAUCUGUCACCAGUUCUGCUCGCCUGCCCAGCUGUCAAAACAGGGGGUGUCUUUUUCAUUCCAGCUCACAAACCUGCCCGUCCCGCUGGAGAGCCAGCAGAUGAGCAUGCCCUAAUCCUCCCCAGUCGGCUGAUCUCAGUGGGUUUUGCGGGACAAGCCGGGCGAGAAGGCUCCGUGGCUUUCAUCUCGAUGAGCAAUUUCAGCUUAUGGAAAACAUCCACGUGGAGACAACAUGGAACCAGAAAUUCUCUGAAGUCAUUAUCAUCGGAAAAGGUCUUAAACCAGAAUAAUACAUUCAGAUAAGCCUCCUCUCUUUCUCAGAAAGAUAUUCUCUUUGGAUUCAUAAAGCUGUUAUUUUCUUUUUAUUGCCUCUCCCAUAGUUUUGUUGAUGGUUUGGUUUUGCAUCAUCUGAUGGAGUUUUAAGCAAACUAAUGGAAAAGGGCAAGAUAACAAAGACAAUUUUUUCUAGGAAGAAAAUUUUAUGUACCUUUCCCAAUAUUCUAUUGCUUUAAGUUAAACUUAAACUUAAAUAUUAUAUGUGAUGCUCUUGAAGUUCUUCCAGACAAAACUAGAGAAGAUCCUGAGGAUUGCUCGUAAAUGCUUUUUCUGCAUUGUGUCAGAAGUGGCUGAAGCAAUUUAGUUACAGUGUACAAGCGCCAGAACCUUUAUGGUGUUGGAAAGUUGCUUUUCAUGAGCUGGGUGGCCAAAAAUGUGCUAAGGUUGGCCCCACUUCACUUAGAGAUGACUCCAGAUUAAGAACAUAGGAGAACCAUAAUUUGUUUGAAAUGCUUGCGUAGACUCCUGUUGGAUCUUCAGACAUCACUUCUGACAUCCUGAGAUCUGAAAUGCUUAGUUGCAGACAAAACCUGCUCACAAUAAGCUAAUGAAAAACUUGUUGAAUGGGAAGAGGAUUGCUACAUAGCUCCAAAGAUAAGUGUAGGGAAAACUGAAGGGAAAACUUCUUCACCAAGCAGUUGAUCAUAGAUGUAGUUAAUCACACAGGCAUAUUUUCUUUUCUUAUCUGCUGGUAUAUGUGUGUGUUAUCAGCCGUGAAAUUGGUUACAGCACUGGAAACAACCACUUUCAGAACAGGCUUUGUAUCCUUGCUCUCUCCACAGGAAUUUUGAAAAUAUUUUUUACCUGACCGCUGGCAGGAUAUUUGUAAUACUUUGCCAGCACAUCAAUAACAAUACAUAUAAAAAGAAUUUCAGAAUCUUACACCAAAUUUUGCCCUUCACUACACUAAUAUUAAUACAGAGAAAAGCUACUGCAUUUCUACUUGUGUAACUAAAAGCAGAGUUUUGCCUUAAGCAACAUGAGUGCAAAUGGCAAGGUAUUAAAAACACAGAUGUAGAGAGGGAGGUCCAUGUGUGGAAAUGGUUUAUAUUAAGAGGCAGUUGCUGAAGCAUAUGAGAGUUUUAGCCAUGCAAGGACCAUUUGGCCCAAUAUUUUUCUUUGUGAGUAGUAGUUUUAAAGAAAUCUAUCAUAAAGAUAAUUUGUUCUACUUACCUAUAAGCGCCUCAGAUCACUCCCCCUCUCCUUGCACCCUGGACCAGACCUGAAAUCCUGGUUGUCCAUAUACACAGUUGGGGUUAACAGUGCAGCCAUUAUUUUUUUCACAGCAUCAGGGAAUUAUUUCUGGUGAAUCAGAAUGUUGUCGCUUGUGACAAAUGGCUGCAUAGAAUGCAUAAACCUUUUAUUUUCCCUGCACACUAAAGGCCUGCACAAAAUGUCAAUGUUUCAUUGUAACACCUGCAGAAAUUUCUGAAAAUAAAGGUUUAGUAAAAUAUUAAUUCA
RNAcentral lists this long non-coding RNA (1887 nucleotides) under Anas platyrhynchos platyrhynchos (common mallard). RNAcentral describes it as "lncRNA (ENSAPLG00000017591.1)". The record is from RNAcentral. Lineage: Eukaryota; Metazoa; Chordata; Aves; Anseriformes; Anatidae.